Molecule: transfer RNA, 69 nt
Filed under: Callionymus curvicornis
Lineage: Eukaryota; Metazoa; Chordata; Actinopteri; Syngnathiformes; Callionymidae
Description: Repomucenus curvicornis tRNA-His
Rfam family: tRNA
About the family: Transfer RNA (tRNA) molecules are approximately 80 nucleotides in length. Their secondary structure includes four short double-helical elements and three loops (D, anti-codon, and T loops).
Source: RNAcentral
GUCGAUAUAGUUUAAGUAAAACUUUAGAUUGUGAUUCUAGCAACAGGGGUUAAAGCCCCCUUAUUGACC